CGGGGUGUUCCACUAAGCUGUCGAUGUUCUCGUUGCGAUAGACGUGACGAGACGGCCUGCUUUGGGAGCAGGAGACCGCAGGUUCGAGUCCUGUCGCCCCGA
Molecule: transfer RNA, 102 nt
Filed under: Cutibacterium avidum
Lineage: Bacteria; Bacillati; Actinomycetota; Actinomycetes; Propionibacteriales; Propionibacteriaceae
Description: tRNA-Pro
Rfam family: tRNA (bases 43-102)
About the family: Transfer RNA (tRNA) molecules are approximately 80 nucleotides in length.
Source: RNAcentral